GUCAAUGUGGCAUAGUGGUUUGAGUGUUGGACUAUGACUCUAGAAACCAGGGUUCAAUUUCCUGCUUGGCCA
RNAcentral lists this transfer RNA (72 nucleotides) under Phrynosoma platyrhinos (Desert horned lizard). Its description in RNAcentral is "tRNA-OTHER". It matches the Rfam family "tRNA". Rfam says of the family: Transfer RNA (tRNA) molecules are approximately 80 nucleotides in length. Their secondary structure includes four short double-helical elements and three loops (D, anti-codon, and T loops). Lineage: Eukaryota; Metazoa; Chordata; Lepidosauria; Squamata; Phrynosomatidae. The record is from RNAcentral.